UCCCAGACUCCUACGGGAGGCAGCAGUGGGGAUAUUGCACAAUGGGGGGAACCCUGGUGCAGCGACGCCGCGUGGGUGAAGAAGUAUUUCGGUAUGUAAAGCCCUAUCGGCAGGGAAGAAAUUGGACGGUACCUGACUAAGAAGCCCCGGCUAACUACGUGCCAGCAGCCGCGGUAAUACGUAGGGGGCGAGCGUUAUCCGGAUUCACUGGGUGUAAAGGGAGCGUAGACGGCCAUGCAAGCCAGGGGUGAAAGCCCGGGGCCCAACCCCGGGACUGCCCUUGGAACUGCAUGGCUGGAGUGCGGGAGGGGCAGGCGGAAUUCCUGGUGUAGCGGUGAAAUGCGUAGAUAUCAGGAGGAACACCGGCGGCGAAGGCGGCCUGCUGGACUGCGACUGACGUUGAGGCUCGAAAGCGUGGGGAGCGAACAGGAUUAGAUACCCCCGUA
Molecule: ribosomal RNA, 446 nt
Filed under: uncultured bacterium
Lineage: Bacteria
Description: bacterial SSU rRNA
Rfam family: Bacterial small subunit ribosomal RNA
Source: RNAcentral